RNAcentral lists this transfer RNA (72 nucleotides) under Bos taurus (domestic cattle). It matches the Rfam family "tRNA". From Rfam's summary of the family: Transfer RNA (tRNA) molecules are approximately 80 nucleotides in length. Lineage: Eukaryota; Metazoa; Chordata; Mammalia; Artiodactyla; Bovidae. The record is from Rfam by way of RNAcentral. RNAcentral also lists the same sequence under 1 other name.
UCCCUGAUGGUCCAGUAGUUAGGACUCUACUUUUUCACUGUGGUGGCCCAGGUUCAGUCCCUGGUCAGAGAA